GAGCCCAUUUUCAGUGUCAGAUUCAGUGAAAAGAAGGGUGGGUAUGAAAUUACACCCUCCUUCCUAAUUCAGAUCGCGACCUCAAAGAAAAUCGGGGAAGUUACAAUCGAUUAAAUCGUUUUUCUUUCUUCUCCAAUUUUCUUCUCCGCGGGUCUCUCUUGUUUCAGGUUUCAUACCCAAAAUUUCUUCCACACUUUUCUCUGAUUUACGAUGAAGCGAUAGAUCUUUCGAUUCUGCCCUGCAUCCUUGUACUAUACUGGCCGAUCGUCCCAAGCAAUUUGUAGCAUCCGACUUCCAUAUGCUGUUAAUAUUUCCCACCGGUGGAUCUGAAGAAGGCGGGGACAAUCUACCCUAAUCGCAAAUAGGUAUGGUCGAUCGUCCCGAGCAAGUUGCAGCUCCAACCUCAUUUGCCCUAAAAACGACCUGGAUAAGAAAAAUAUCAAGACCUGGGAAUUGGAUUUCUGAAGACCAUUGAUGUUGAUUGAAAUGCAAGGAGGUUCCAGCUAGUUUUGGAUUUGAUACUCCAUUCAAGGUGGUGUUUGUUCAACUUUCACAUCUUUAGUUUUUAAAUGAACUUUUUAAAUUAUCUUUAGUGGUAUAUGACUUCGAACAUUAAGUAAAGUACCCUACACAUUUUAUACUAAAAGUAUUGGGUUUGUAACCCAGGUCGGUUAUAAAAGUAUUGGGUUUGUCUCAAUUUUCACAUCUUUACUUUCAUUUCUCCUACUUUUGUUUUUGUAUGGAUCCAUAUAGCUGACCCCAUUAAGUUUGGAUAACGGUGAGUUUUUUUUUUUUUUUGGUAAUAAGAAACCCCUAUGUGGCCUUUUACUUGUUACAACUCAUGCACUAAUGGAGUGAAUUGCUCCCUUUUUCAAUUGCCAGCCAUUCUGGUUAAGCCUUCAAUCUUAUGCUUUAGUGAAUGAUCAAUAUUGGCUGAAUUGAUAUUGUAUUAUAUAGGAAAUGUGAUGAUUGAUGCCCGCUUAGCUGGGAAAUACUACCAUUGUAAGUUUAUUUAUUUAUUUUAACAAGAAACUGAGAAAUUUUAUUAAUUGAAAUCAAAGGAAGAGAAACUCCUACAUGAGUCAAUAGAUACAAGGCAAUGUGGUGGUCGAAGCCACUAAACACGGGAAAUUCCCAAACAAGAUGACUACCAUUGUAAGUUGACUAGUUCUGAUAUAGUCCAUAGUGUGUUUUUUUGUGCUCUUUUUUCCAUAUCUGGUCUGGAGCUGCUUAAAUUUUUAAAGAGUUCUGCAAGAUUGUUACAUUGAUUGGUAAAGUUUGUAAUAAGCAGUUCCAAGUACAUAAAUGUGCAGUUUUGUGAGGUCUACUAUGAUCCCCAUAGGCACACACGUUUCCAAACCUGUGCUGAAUCAGGUGCUAAAUAUUUAGAACAAAUCAAUUUGUUCUUUUAGGUUAUGUUUUUUACACUUAACUUACUGAUAUAUGUAAUGUAGGGAAAAGAAAGGCCAUUAACGUCUGUAAUUUUUCUGAUUUCAAAUACUUCACCCAAUUAGUUCUACCAUUCUUCCCCCCACCCACCCACAAUUCAAUUUCAUUGUUCAGAGUUGUUUUCUUUAGAAUGGAGUAAUGUUGUCCCUGGUAGGAUACAAAAUCCACGUAGAAAUGUGAGUAUUACAAAAAAUCAUGUAAGAUCUGAUCAAGACUAGGAAUUGUUAGUUAUGCUUCAGAAUUAAUGAACUAGAUACGAGAGAACAUGGUGUAAUUUGAGCCAUGACUGAAUAAUACAUAAAAGAACUGUAUGGUGGUGCACAAUGGGAAUGUUGUCGAAUUGUUUGGUGUGUUGAACCAACUCACAUGUCACAUGUAUCAAAUGCAUAGUCUUGAACUUCUAGGUAUCGUGAUCUGCCUGAAUAUCUUCUUUACAGAUUGAGAAGGAGAUGAGAGAACCUUUCAACAGUGUCUUACAAAUUAACGAGUCUCAGCUUGAACUAGAGCCUCACCUGAUUGUAUUCCUCUUGCAAGACCCUUGGUUGAUGAUUCUAGUGUAGCCUUGAAGUUGCUUUCAUUUGAUGUUUUGUUUGAGAGUCUUUAGUUCAAAUUGAUAGAGCACUUGGGGAUUCCCCAAGAGUCGAUGGUUCGAAUCCAUCAAGACUCAGUGAAUUUUCUUAUGUGUAAUUUUUAGAAUUCUAAUGACAUGAGUGAAAAUGACAAUUGUCAUGUAUGUAACAUUGUAGAACACAAAAUAUUGGAAAAAUUAUCAAAAAAUCAUUGGUGCUUAUUGUAA
Molecule: long non-coding RNA, 2245 nt
Organism: Macadamia integrifolia
Lineage: Eukaryota; Viridiplantae; Streptophyta; Magnoliopsida; Proteales; Proteaceae
Exons: 2
Source: RefSeq, a predicted model, not a curated record